Panicum virgatum (switchgrass) is the source of this 350-nucleotide long non-coding RNA. RefSeq lists it as uncharacterized. Lineage: Eukaryota; Viridiplantae; Streptophyta; Magnoliopsida; Poales; Poaceae. The record is from RefSeq and is a predicted model, not a curated record. The transcript is spliced from 3 exons.
AUCCUGCAACAAUGCCAGAUCAACUGUCAGCUCCCAAAUGCAUUGUAUCAAGAUAUGUAUACAGAAUAUGAUACUUGCCUCCGAAGAAUUCAGCCAUCUUGAAACGACAGAGCUUCCCGAUCUUCCUAACUGAAGACACCUGCUCAUGCUGCAGGCAAUGCAGCAGUACUGAAGAUGAUCUCUCUAGAUGGUACUAUCAUUCUACAGGCAUGCAGCUGCACUGGACCAGGAUGGUUUAGUGUACAUGCUUGUCUCAAGCUGCUGGUGGAGAAUCUUUGCCCCCAGCUUUGCUUCAGGGAUUAGGCAGGAAUUUGAAGAUGGCAUUGGCUGAAAAGGUAUGUGUUUCCCUU